UGGUGUUUGUCUGUUUUUUAAUUCUAUGCGGGGUCACGGGGACGGGCGCCGAUAUACACCUUGUAAAACAGCCAGGGAACCUUUGGGUCACUUGGGCCCACCGCACCGGCCAGACAGACUUUUGUCUUUCUACACAGUCGGCUACCUCGCCAUUUAGAACGUGCUUAAUUGGUGUCCCAUUAGGGAUCCAAGAACAGGAUUUUAAGGGCUAUGUCUCUGAUACUAGUUGCGGGGCACCAGAGCAAGACCGACUUUUUGUAUCAGAGGAAAUCAAGAGUGGCCCUCACACAAAGGUUACCUUUGCCUAUCGAAAGGUAGCUUGCUUGCUGACAAGAUUGAAUGUUUCCCUUUGGGACGAGCCACUAGAGAUGCAAUUGUUAGGCUCACAAGCCCUCCCAAAUGUCACCCAUAGUACUCCCUCUACAACUGAUCCUACAGUGGGGGGAUGCAUAGGGUUUGCCCCAUAUUCAAAACCAGCCGGCAUCUACGGGUGGGACCGUGAGGGAAUGGCGCACAACUUUCUGCUAGCCCCAUGGUCUAAUCCCUUUUUUAACCGAGAAACCAACUCUUCUGACCUAUUCACUAUAGUAACGGCUGAUAGGAACCAACUCUUCGAGGGAGGGGGAUAUUGUGGCAGAUAUCAACAUAAGUAUUGGCAAAUGUUCAAUUGCACACACUCGCAACGCACAGGACCCUCUCGAUCCUUCGACGUCUACACGUGUACAAUAGGGAAGUCUACUACACAAAGCCCGACACCUCCUUGGGUCAACUGCAAGAGAGGGGGUGAGUGGGUCAAUAGUUUCCAACCCUUUAAUGUGAAUGGUACCACGGUAUACUGUACUGGCGAUCAGCUUGGUAACGCCAGCGGGUGCUGUGGGUGGGCUGCCACAGUCUUCCCACCAGGAGCAUGGCUUAAUUGUAAAAGUAGUACCUUCUCCAAGCCGAAGGCGCUACCACCUAACAUUUUUCUCAUUUGCGGAGAUCGCGCGUGGCAAGGAAUACCAAGUCGUCCGGUAGGAGGUCCUUGCUAUCUAGGUAGGCUCGCCAUGUUAGCACCUAAUCAUACGGAAAUCAUUAAGACCCUUAGAAUGCUCAGCGAUACAACACGAACACCUAGCAGAACAAAACGAAGCAUAAAGCAGAUGGGCGAGACGUGCUCGGAUGGCGUGCAGCUUUGGGGUGCCACGGCAAGAAUCUUCGCGUCUAUCCUAGCUCCGGGAGUGGCAGCAGCACAGGCUUUAAAAGAAAUUGAGAGACUGGCUUGUUGGUCCGUUAAACAGGCCAAUGUAACAACAUCACUCCUCAACAAUCUGUUAAUGGACGUCACGAGUAUCAGACACGCGAUCCUACAGAACCGAGCAGCUAUUGACUUUUUGCUUUUGGCUCAGGGCCAUGGUUGUGAGGACAUUGCAGGGAUGUGCUGUUUCAAUCUCAGCGAUCAUAGUGAAUCGAUGCACA
Molecule: long non-coding RNA, 1458 nt
Filed under: Phasianus colchicus (ring-necked pheasant)
Lineage: Eukaryota; Metazoa; Chordata; Aves; Galliformes; Phasianidae
Description: lncRNA (ENSPCLG00000016801.1)
Source: RNAcentral